GGAGACACGGCGACACUAGAGCGGGUGCUGUGAGGCCUCCCUUUUGCCCUUUCCUGCCAUGGCAAGGCCGUCUCUGGCUGGAAGCCACUCCCAAGCCCUGCCAUAGCAAGGUGGGGAUAGGCUGAGGCUGGGGAAGGCCUGGCUCCACUCUUGGGGUGCUAAGCUACCACCAAGUCCCCCAAAGGUCCCAGACUUGGGUCAUCUCUCCUCCAGAAGCAGAGCCCUGCUGGGGAGGAGAUGGAAGUUGGUACCAAACACCCCAGAUGCCUCCUACCCGAAAGAAGCAGGCCACUCACCGACUCAUGGCGGUAAAUCUUCACCAUGCAAUCAACGAUGCCCCGGAAUGUCACCCCGAAGCUGGGCUGGGUCCACAAGCACAGGAGCCCUCCUCAGAAGCCAGGAGUGCAACCCUUGGGGCAGAGGCCAAAGGGAAUUCAGGAUAGCAGGAAGUGACCUACCUGGGCAGGAAGCGACAGAAGGAAGGAAAAUGUCUCACCAGAGAUCCAACCAGCCACGAACUCCUCCACAGGCAUCAGGCAUCGUGUGGGCUCCGUGGGAACUGGCGGCUGCAGCAGAGAGACAGUGAAGGACACAUGAGGACCACAUGAAGGAACAUCCGGGAAAGGGCCUGGCUCAGUGUCUAGCACACAGCAGGAAAAUUUGGAUUUUGUGACGAGAAGGUCUACCAUUGUUCCUGCUUUGCUGGCAAAGUAAUAAACUUCUCUUUCCUCCCAAUCAAACCACUUGUCUUCAUUCUUCUGAUUUGGCCUCAUGGACAAGUGCUGAGUUUUUGGCAACACAGCUGGUUCUGGGAGACAACGGAGCCACUGAGUCCUGGUCUGAGGGUCCCAGAGCUGAGAACCGGAGGGAGAUGCCUGCUCCUGCUGCACACUCUUCUCUGCAGCCCAUAUCUGUGCCUCUCCAGUCCUUGGGUCACAUCAGUAAAGUAGUUGUAAUGGGCUCUGUUUUGGGCCAUGUGGGUCCUGAAAGAGCUGGUUCCAAUACUGAAGAAGAUCUGACUGGGCCAGGAGCCAGAGCUGCUUUCCAAUCACAGGGAAUCAGGGUAAGGUGAACCCACUGCCCCCUGUUCCAGAUCACCAAGUCCACUAUUGUCACUUGGAACAGUUUGUGGUUCCUCUGGCUCGGGACGGCAUCCCAUGGACCUGUUUUCCUCCCUGAGUUCCACAUGUCAGGUACACACAUGCUGGCAUUGCCAGGACAUGUUGGGGAUAUGGCUCUGGGGAUAAAUAGUUUCACACCAGCCUCUUCAGGGCCCCAACAUCUCUUCCCAGCCUAGGAAUACCUCAUCUCCGAGGCUGUGUGUGUAAGAUAGCGAGGGGUCAUGCGACUGCUCCCUGGAAAAACAGGUGUGCCUGGCCUGGGUUUCUGGCAUACACCUAUAAUUUGGGAGUGAGAAGGGUCCUUGGAAGUCAUCAAGUCCAAACUCCUCAUUUUACAGAUGAGGAAACUGAGGCCCAGAGAGGAAGGGACUUGUCCAGGACAAGUCAAGGGCAGGACAGUCUCCUGACCACAUUCCAGCGGCCAUCACCAUUCACGGCCUGGGGAGCGCUGCAGUACAGGAUGCUGCCUGCGUCACCUUUACCCAGAGCCCAGCAGCGCGGCUCUGACACGUCCCAGGAAGUAUCUCUGUUUCACAGGCCUGGUCCAAAGUUACACGGCAAGUGAGUGCCAGAGCUCGCGCCCCAGCCCUGGUUUUCUUGAAUCUUCGCCACACCCUGUUACAGGCCAGUGAUCGGGACCUGUGUGAGGGGUAACUUGCCCUGGGUCACUCAGGUUGGUGGCAAGAUUGGUUCGUAACGCGGCCCUCCCUGUGAUGUGACCAGAAAGGCGAGGAGCUCGUCCCGGGGCGUCUGGGCAUGCGCGGGCCCGUGGGGGGUGUGAGCG
Microcebus murinus (gray mouse lemur) is the source of this 1905-nucleotide non-coding RNA. The record is from RefSeq and is a predicted model, not a curated record. Lineage: Eukaryota; Metazoa; Chordata; Mammalia; Primates; Cheirogaleidae.